CCUACGGGAGGCAGCAGUGGGGAAUCUUGCGCAAUGGGCGGAAGCCUGACGCAGCAACGCCGCGUGCGGGAAGAAGGCCUUAGGGUCGUAAACCGCUUUCAGGGGGGACGAAGCUUCCGGGGUUAAUAGCCUACGGGGUGACGGUACUCCCAAAAGAAGGUCCGGCUAACUACGUGCCAGCAGCCGCGGUAAUACGUAGGGACCGAGCGUUGUCCGGAAUCAUUGGGCGUAAAGAGCGUGUAGGCGGCCUAGUAGGUCUCGUGUGAAAUCCCGUGGCUCAACCACGGACACGCACGGGAAACCCCUAGGCUCGAGUCCGGAAGAGGAGAGCGGAAUUCCUGGUGUAGCGGUGAAAUGCGCAGAUAUCAGGAAGAACACCCGUAGCGAAGGCGGCUCUCUGGGACGGUACUGACGCUGAGACGCGAAAGCGUGGGGAGCAAACAGGAUUAGAUACCCUGGUAGUCCACGCCGUAAACGAUGGAUGCUAGGUGUGGGAGGUGUCGACUCCUCCCGUGCCGAAGCUAACGCAUUAAGCAUCCCGCCUGGGGAGUACGGCCGCAAGGCUAAAACUUAAAUGAAAUUGACGGCGUGAGACGUGACCGAAGGCCACACGGAGGGAGUAGG
Molecule: ribosomal RNA, 624 nt
Filed under: uncultured bacterium
Lineage: Bacteria
Description: bacterial SSU rRNA
Rfam family: Bacterial small subunit ribosomal RNA
Source: RNAcentral